This 424-nucleotide ribosomal RNA is filed under the name Verrucomicrobiota bacterium. RNAcentral describes it as "Verrucomicrobia bacterium partial 16S ribosomal RNA". It matches the Rfam family "Bacterial small subunit ribosomal RNA", at positions 355 to 776 of the family's 1533-position model. The record is from RNAcentral. Lineage: Bacteria; Pseudomonadati; Verrucomicrobiota.
UGAGGAAUAUUGGUCAAUGGACGCAAGUCUGAACCAGCCAAGUAGCGUGCAGGAUGACGGCCCUAUGGGUUGUAAACUGCUUUUAUAUGGGGAUAAAGUGGGGAACGUGUUCCCUUUUGCAGGUACCAUAUGAAUAAGGACCGGCUAAUUCCGUGCCAGCAGCCGCGGUAAUACGGAAGGUUCGGGCGUUAUCCGGAUUUAUUGGGUUUAAAGGGAGCGUAGGCCGUUUGGUAAGCGUGUUGUGAAAUGUAGGAGCUCAACUUCUAGAUUGCAGCGCGAACUGUCAGACUUGAGUGCGCACAACGUAGGCGGAAUUCAUGGUGUAGCGGUGAAAUGCUUAGAUAUCAUGAAGAACUCCGAUUGCGAAGGCAGCUUACGGGAGCGCAACUGACGCUGAAGCUCAAAGGUGCGGGUAUCGAACAGG